CUUUACUAUAACUUAGCAUUGGGUUUUGAUAUUGCAUGCGUAGAAUAGGUGGGAGACUUUGAAGCCUGGACUCUGGUCUGGGUGGAGUCGCAAUGUGAAAUACCACCCUUGUAAUCUUGAAAUUCUAACUCCGGCUUUUGAAUCAAGGCCGAGGACAUUGCUAGGCGGGUAGUUUGACUGGGGCGGUCGCCUCCUAAAAGGUAACGGAGGCUUGCAAAGGUUCCCUCAGCACGCUUGGUAACCGUGCGUAGAGCGCAAAGGCAUAAGGGAGCUUGACUGUGAGGCAAACAAGCCGAGCAGAGACGAAAGUCGGCCUUAGUGAUCCGGUGGUUCUGUAUGGAAGGGCCAUCGCUCAAAGGAUAAAAGGUA
This 369-nucleotide ribosomal RNA is filed under the name uncultured organism. RNAcentral's name for it is "bacterial LSU rRNA". It matches the Rfam family "Bacterial large subunit ribosomal RNA", at positions 2099 to 2465 of the family's 2925-position model. The record is from RNAcentral.